Pelobates cultripes (western spadefoot toad) is the source of this 87-nucleotide non-coding RNA. Lineage: Eukaryota; Metazoa; Chordata; Amphibia; Anura; Pelobatidae. The record is from the annotation of a GenBank genome assembly.
UGGCACUCCAGAUGUUUUAGAUUACACCUCCCAUGAUGCUUUGCCAGCAUUAUGGGGGGGAUGUAGUCCACAACAUCUGGAGUGCCA